GGAUUACCUCAGUAACGGCGAGUGAAGCGGUAACAGCUCAAAUUUGAAAUCUGGCUCCUACGGAGUCCGAGUUGUAAUUUGUAGAAGAUGCUUUGGGUUGUGGGUUUGGCCUAAGUUCCUUGGAACAGGACGUCGCAGAGGGUGAGAAUCCCGUAUGUGGCCGAGGCCCGCGCCUAUGUAAAGCUCUUUCAACGAGUCGAGUUGUUUGGGAAUGCAGCUCAAAAUGGGUGGUAAAUUUCAUCUAAAGCUAAAUAUGGGCCAGAGACCGAUAGCGCACAAGUAGAGUGAUCGAAAGAUGAAAAGCACUUUGGAAAGAGAGUUAAACAGUACGUGAAAUUGUUGAAAGGGAAGCGCUUGCAACCAGACUUGGGCGCUGCCGAUCACCCCGAGUUCUCUCGGGUGCACUCGACCGCGCACAGGCCAGCAUCGGUUCGGGUGGCUGGAUAAAGGCCGUAGGAACGUGGCUCCCUCCGGGGAGUGUUAUAGCCUACGGUGCCAUGCAGCCCAGCCGGACCGAGGACCGCGCCUUCGGGCUAGGAUGCUGGCGUAAUGGUUGUAAGCGACCCGUCUUGAAACACGGACCAAGGAGUCUAACAUCUAUGCGAGUGUUUGGGUGGUAAACCCAUACGCGGAAUGAAAGUGAACGUAGGUGAGAACCCC
This 660-nucleotide ribosomal RNA is filed under the name Erysiphe syringae. RNAcentral's name for it is "eukaryotic LSU rRNA". It matches the Rfam family "Eukaryotic large subunit ribosomal RNA", at positions 72 to 745 of the family's 3401-position model. Lineage: Eukaryota; Fungi; Ascomycota; Leotiomycetes; Helotiales; Erysiphaceae. The record is from RNAcentral.